AGACAGGUGCUGCAUGGCUGUCGUCAGCUCGUGUUGUGAAAUGUUGGGUUAAGUCCCGCAACGAGCGCAACCCUUAUCCUUUGUUGCCAGCGGUCCGGCCGGGAACUCAAAGGAGACUGCCAGUGAUAAACUGGAGGAAGGUGGGGAUGACGUCAAGUCAUCAUGGCCCUUACGACCAGGGCUACACACGUGCUACAAUGGCAUAUACAAAGAGAAGCGACCUCGCGAGAGCAAGCGGACCUCAUAAAGUAUGUCGUAGUCCGGAUUGGAGUCUGCAACUCGACUCCAUGAAGUCGGAAUCGCUAGUAAUCGUAGAUCAGAAUGCUACGGUGAAUACGUUCCCGGGCCUUGUACACACCGCCCGUCACACCAUGGGAGUGGGUUGCAAAAGAAGUAGGUAGCUUAACCUUCGGGAGGGCGCUUACCACUUUGUGAUUCAUGACUGGGGUGAAGUCGUAACAAGGUAACCGUAGGGGAACCUGCGGUUGGAUCACCUCCUUA
Molecule: ribosomal RNA, 501 nt
Filed under: Klebsiella pneumoniae
Lineage: Bacteria; Pseudomonadati; Pseudomonadota; Gammaproteobacteria; Enterobacterales; Enterobacteriaceae
Description: bacterial SSU rRNA
Rfam family: Bacterial small subunit ribosomal RNA
Source: RNAcentral